RNAcentral lists this ribosomal RNA (1892 nucleotides) under Staphylococcus aureus. Its description in RNAcentral is "partial 23S ribosomal RNA". It matches the Rfam family "Bacterial large subunit ribosomal RNA", at positions 1029 to 2925 of the family's 2925-position model. The record is from RNAcentral. Lineage: Bacteria; Bacillati; Bacillota; Bacilli; Caryophanales; Staphylococcaceae.
AGACCACCAGCUAAGGUCCCAAAAUAUAUGUUAAGUGGAAAAGGAUGUGGCGUUGCCCAGACAACUAGGAUGUUGGCUUAGAAGCAGCCAUCAUUUAAAGAGUGCGUAAUAGCUCACUAGUCGAGUGACACUGCGCCGAAAAUGUACCGGGGCUAAACAUAUUACCGAAGCUGUGGAUUGUCCUUUGGACAAUGGUAGGAGAGCGUUCUAAGGGCGUUGAAGCAUGAUCGUAAGGACAUGUGGAGCGCUUAGAAGUGAGAAUGCCGGUGUGAGUAGCGAAAGACGGGUGAGAAUCCCGUCCACCGAUUGACUAAGGUUUCCAGAGGAAGGCUCGUCCGCUCUGGGUUAGUCGGGUCCUAAGCUGAGGCCGACAGGCGUAGGCGAUGGAUAACAGGUUGAUAUUCCUGUACCACCUAUAAUCGUUUUAAUCGAUGGGGGGACGCAGUAGGAUAGGCGAAGCGUGCGAUUGGAUUGCACGUCUAAGCAGUAAGGCUGAGUAUUAGGCAAAUCCGGUACUCGUUAAGGCUGAGCUGUGAUGGGGAGAAGACAUUGUGUCUUCGAGUCGUUGAUUUCACACUGCCGAGAAAAGCCUCUAGAUAGAAAAUAGGUGCCCGUACCGCAAACCGACACAGGUAGUCAAGAUGAGAAUUCUAAGGUGAGCGAGCGAACUCUCGUUAAGGAACUCGGCAAAAUGACCCCGUAACUUCGGGAGAAGGGGUGCUCUUUAGGGUUAACGCCCAGAAGAGCCGCAGUGAAUAGGCCCAAGCGACUGUUUAUCAAAAACACAGGUCUCUGCUAAACCGUAAGGUGAUGUAUAGGGGCUGACGCCUGCCCGGUGCUGGAAGGUUAAGAGGAGUGGUUAGCUUCUGCGAAGCUACGAAUCGAAGCCCCAGUAAACGGCGGCCGUAACUAUAACGGUCCUAAGGUAGCGAAAUUCCUUGUCGGGUAAGUUCCGACCCGCACGAAAGGCGUAACGAUUUGGGCACUGUCUCAACGAGAGACUCGGUGAAAUCAUAGUACCUGUGAAGAUGCAGGUUACCCGCGACAGGACGGAAAGACCCCGUGGAGCUUUACUGUAGCCUGAUAUUGAAAUUCGGCACAGCUUGUACAGGAUAGGUAGGAGCCUUUGAAACGUGAGCGCUAGCUUACGUGGAGGCGCUGGUGGGAUACUACCCUAGCUGUGUUGGCUUUCUAACCCGCACCACUUAUCGUGGUGGGAGACAGUGUCAGGCGGGCAGUUUGACUGGGGCGGUCGCCUCCUAAAAGGUAACGGAGGCGCUCAAAGGUUCCCUCAGAAUGGUUGGAAAUCAUUCAUAGAGUGUAAAGGCAUAAGGGAGCUUGACUGCGAGACCUACAAGUCGAGCAGGGUCGAAAGACGGACUUAGUGAUCCGGUGGUUCCGCAUGGAAGGGCCAUCGCUCAACGGAUAAAAGCUACCCCGGGGAUAACAGGCUUAUCUCCCCCAAGAGUUCACAUCGACGGGGAGGUUUGGCACCUCGAUGUCGGCUCAUCGCAUCCUGGGGCUGUAGUCGGUCCCAAGGGUUGGGCUGUUCGCCCAUUAAAGCGGUACGCGAGCUGGGUUCAGAACGUCGUGAGACAGUUCGGUCCCUAUCCGUCGUGGGCGUAGGAAAUUUGAGAGGAGCUGUCCUUAGUACGAGAGGACCGGGAUGGACAUACCUCUGGUGUACCAGUUGUCGUGCCAACGGCAUAGCUGGGUAGCUAUGUGUGGACGGGAUAAGUGCUGAAAGCAUCUAAGCAUGAAGCCCCCCUCAAGAUGAGAUUUCCCAACUUCGGUUAUAAGAUCCCUCAAAGAUGAUGAGGUUAAUAGGUUCGAGGUGGAAGCAUGGUGACAUGUGGAGCUGACGAAUACUAAUCGAUCGAAGACUUAAUCAA